CUUAAUUGGGCGUUAAGUUGCAGGGUAUAGACCCGAAACCCGGUGAUCUAGCCAUGGGCAGGUUGAAGGUUGGGUAACACUAACUGGAGGACCGAACCGACUAAUGUUGAAAAAUUAGCGGAUGACCUGUGGCUGGGGGUGAAAGGCCAAUCAAACCGGGAGAUAGCUGGUUCUCCCCGAAAGCUAUUUAGGUAGCGCCUCGUGAAUUCAUCUCCGGGGGUAGAGCACUGUUUCGGCUAGGGGGCCAUCCCGGCUUACCAACCCGAUGCAAACUGCGAAUACCGGAGAAUGUUAUCACGGGAGACACACGGCGGGUGCUAACGUCCGUCGUGAAGAGGGAAACAACCCAGACCGCCAGCUAAGGUCCCAAAGUCAUGGUUAAGUGGGAAACGAUGUGGGAAGGCCCAGACAGCCAGGAUGUUGGCUUAGAAGCAGCCAUCAUUUAAAGAAAGCGUAAUAGCUCACUGGUCGAGUCGGCCUGCGCGGAAGAUGUAACGGGGCUAAACCAUGCACCGAAGCUGCGGCAGCGAACGUAUCACCCAAGACAACUUUACGGAGUUGACGAUUGACGGAGCGAAGCGACGUCAAAGCGUUCAUUAAAGUCGAGUUGGCUUAGGGAUACGUU
This 625-nucleotide ribosomal RNA is filed under the name Salmonella enterica subsp. enterica serovar Oslo. Its description in RNAcentral is "partial 23S ribosomal RNA". It matches the Rfam family "Bacterial large subunit ribosomal RNA", at positions 683 to 1240 of the family's 2925-position model. Lineage: Bacteria; Pseudomonadati; Pseudomonadota; Gammaproteobacteria; Enterobacterales; Enterobacteriaceae. The record is from RNAcentral.